CAAGCCCCAUCCUUUUGUGCAGGCAUCUCGCUGUCUGCGCUGGGCACGGAGCGGCGCGCGCGCGCCCGUCUUUCCCUCGGCGGCCCCCGCGGCUCGGACCCGGGCCGGCAGACAGGCCAUCCAUCAUCCGCCCUCCUCCCGCGGAGCGCCGCAGCCGCCGCGGCCAAUCCGGCGGCAGGUGGGGCCGCACCUGCGCGACAGCCCGCCGCUUCCCUCCGCUCCCUUCGCCGCGCCUCGCGUGCUAGCGGUGCCCUUGUGAGCCACUGCGUUCUCCAAGGCCAGAACGGGACAGUUGACGAUGGUCGUACUUCUCCAUGUUCUGAGACCAGUUUAAACAAAAACAAAAACCAGACAACAACCUUGCAAGGGAAAGAAUUCAGAGUAAAUAAACAGUCUUUUUCUGGGAAGUAAAAUAUUUCCCUAAGAUGGAGAAAUUGAGAUGAGAGCUCAUCCACAAGAUUACCCAUCAAUGAGCACCAAUAGCAACCAAAUCCACUAGAAGACUGGGAGCUUUUAAGUCAAGAAACUUACAUCAGUAUCAUCAUUCCAAGAAGCGGUAUCCAAGCUGUUUUAUCGAAAGUGCGCAUGGGAGAUAAGACUCUGAGAAUUUAUAGAAACAAACAUUAGAAGGCAGGAAUGUGGAGAGAAGAAAGCUACCUGACAAGGGAAUCUCAGGAUACAAGGAAAACACCAAGGUG
RNAcentral lists this long non-coding RNA (698 nucleotides) under Homo sapiens (human). Its description in RNAcentral is "non-protein coding LINC01197:5". Lineage: Eukaryota; Metazoa; Chordata; Mammalia; Primates; Hominidae. The record is from RNAcentral.